CGCCCUGUAGUCUAAUGGUACGACGUCGCCACAUCUCGUGAGGAGGAGAUUGCAAGUUCGAUUCUUGUCGGGGUUU
Molecule: non-coding RNA, 76 nt
Organism: Roridomyces roridus
Lineage: Eukaryota; Fungi; Basidiomycota; Agaricomycetes; Agaricales; Mycenaceae
Source: the annotation of a GenBank genome assembly